AGAUGGAUUGGUGCCUUCGGGAACUCUGACACAGGUGCUGCAUGGCUGUCGUCAGCUCGUGUCGUGAGAUGUUGGGUUAAGUCCCGUAACGAGCGCAACCCUUGUCCUUAGUUACCAGCACGUUAUGGUGGGCACUCUAAGGAGACUGCCGGUGACAAACCGGAGGAAGGUGGGGAUGACGUCAAGUCAUCAUGGCCCCUACGGCCUGGGCUACACACGUGCUACAAUGGUCGGUACAAAGGGUUGCCAAGCCGCGAGGUGGAGCUAAUCCCAUAAAACCGAUCGUAGUCCGGAUCGCAGUCUGCAACUCGACUGCGUGAAGUCGGAAUCGCUAGUAAUCGUGAAUCAGAAUGUCACGGUGAAUACGGUUCCCGGGCCUU
This 380-nucleotide ribosomal RNA is filed under the name uncultured Pseudomonas sp. Its description in RNAcentral is "bacterial SSU rRNA". It matches the Rfam family "Bacterial small subunit ribosomal RNA", at positions 1004 to 1382 of the family's 1533-position model. Lineage: Bacteria; Pseudomonadati; Pseudomonadota; Gammaproteobacteria; Pseudomonadales; Pseudomonadaceae. The record is from RNAcentral.